AUGGCGCCCGUUCCCCUUGCUCCGGCGGCGUCUCGCCCGUGGGCUCUCAGUGUCAGGCGGGGCCCGACUCCACCAGCUCUGGGUUCCGGGCGGUGCCUUGCGCAGGAUCUCAGUUCUUCAGAGCGCCCUUCAGCUUUAAGUGGGAUCCGCAGAGCGUCCCCCACCGCCACCCGAGGCCCAGAACCCCACGUCUCAGCCCACCAGAACCCCACGUCUCAGCCCACCAGAACCCCACGUCUCAGCCCACCAGAACCCCACGUCUCAGCCCACCAGAACCCCAUGUCUCAUCCCAUCUGCCUGCCAGGCUGUCCUGUGGGAGCCCCAGUCCCCUCCCCGGGCAGAUGCCAGCGUGGCUGGGCGUCCUCCAGGGUUCACCACGCUGGGACUGCGCUGCCCCUCCAGUCUCUGCUGAGUGUCACCCCUGGGCCCACGGGUCUUGUGCAUGCCCCAGGACCGGGGGCCUGGGCUUCCUGUCUAACAGAAUCGAAGUACUGGGGAGGCAUUUGCCUAGAUCACUGGGGAUCCUGUUUGCUAGGAGCACAGUUAGGUAGGAUGUAUGACUUUUGUUUUAAUUUGUAUUUAUUCAUUUUAAUUUUAUUUGAAAGGGAGAAGCAGAGAGAGGGAGAGGGAGGGCGAGAGGGAGAGGGAGAGGAUACUCGUGUCUCCUGGUCCACUCCCCGGAUGCUGGGUGGACUUGGCGGUGACGUGAGUGGAUGGGCACAGAGGAUGUGACCAUGGCGGGGGACAUCCUGAAUGCCACGUCGUGAGGCUCUGGCUGCCCUGCGUCCUUGUGUCCUGGCCUCUCCCUGUGUGGGCAGCUCUGCCUUGCGGCCUGUAGGGCCUCAGGGGAGGGCCCUGUGACCGACCUGAGGCUUCCCGGGACAUCAUCGAUAGCAGAGGUACAGCCUCGCCGCCUUGUGAUCGGAUGGGAGGCCCUUGGUCGAGGAGCGGCACUGGAGGGAAGCGGCCCAUGGACAUGGAAUGUCCCGAGAAGGCAGCCCUGCCCCUUGGCUCUGGGGCGUCACCCCACUGUGGUGGCCCGUCACUGGGUCCAGCGCCAGUCCAGGUGUGGCUGUGUUGCUGACUGUAGGCAGACUUCCAGGGAUGGGGCUGACCUGCCUAACGCGUCCUAGUCCUCGUCUAAUCAGGCAAAGACAGAGACCGGAGCCUGCCAGGGCCUGGCCUGCACAUUGCAGCCCGCAAGAUCCACUCUCCUGUGGGAUGCCAGCUUCAGGGCUUGCGUGUCAAGUCCCUAAAACAAGCCCGUCACCCUGUCUCGCUGAAGACCUGUGAGACGCCCCGUGUGUGUGCAUGUAUGUGAGUGUGUGUACACAUAUGUAUGUACCUGUAGAGCAGAGGAGGGUACUUCAGCAGUUUGGGGCAAAUGGAACUUAAAUAUAUAUUUAUUUUGGUGCAAAAAUGUUUGAAAUCUUUUUUUUUUUGACAGGCAGAGUGGACAGUGAGAGAGAGAGACAGAGAGAAAGGUCUUCCUUUUGCCGUUGGUUCACCCUCCAAUGGCCGCCGUGGCCGGCGUGCUGUGGCCGGCGCACCGCGCUGAUCCGAUGGCAGGAGCCAGGAGCCAGGUGCUUUUCCUGGUCUCCCAUGGGGUGCAGGGCCCAAGCACCUGGGCCAUCCUCCACUGCACUCCCUGGCCACAGCAGAGAGCUGGCCUGGAAGAGGGGCAACUGGGACAGAAUCCGGUGCCCCAACCGGGACUAGAACCCGGUGUGCC
Molecule: long non-coding RNA, 1732 nt
Organism: Oryctolagus cuniculus (rabbit)
Lineage: Eukaryota; Metazoa; Chordata; Mammalia; Lagomorpha; Leporidae
Source: Ensembl